GAUGAACGCUGGCGGCGUGCCUAAUACAUGCAAGUCGAGCGAACAGACGAGGAGCUUGCUCCUCUGACGUUAGCGGCGGACGGGUGAGUAACACGUGGAUAACCUACCUAUAAGACUGGGAUAACUUCGGGAAACCGGAGCUAAUACCGGAUAAUAUAUUGAACCGCAUGGUUCAAUAGUGAAAGACGGUUUUGCUGUCACUUAUAGAUGGAUCCGCGCCGCAUUAGCUAGUUGGUAAGGUAACGGCUUACCAAGGCAACGAUGCGUAGCCGACCUGAGAGGGUGAUCGGCCACACUGGAACUGAGACACGGUCCAGACUCCUAAGGGAGGCAGCAGUAGGGAAUCUUCCGCAAUGGGCGAAAGCCUGACGGAGCAACGCCGCGUGAAUGAUGAAGGUCUUCGGAUCGUAAAACUCUGUUAUUAGGGAAGAACAAAUGUGUAAGUAACUAUGCACGUCUUGAUGGUACCUAAUCAGAAAGCCACGGCUAACUACGUG
RNAcentral lists this ribosomal RNA (497 nucleotides) under uncultured bacterium. RNAcentral's name for it is "partial 16S ribosomal RNA". It matches the Rfam family "Bacterial small subunit ribosomal RNA", at positions 28 to 507 of the family's 1533-position model. The record is from RNAcentral.